This 500-nucleotide ribosomal RNA is filed under the name uncultured bacterium. RNAcentral describes it as "partial 16S ribosomal RNA". It matches the Rfam family "Bacterial small subunit ribosomal RNA", at positions 29 to 523 of the family's 1533-position model. The record is from RNAcentral.
AUUGAACGCUGGCGGAAUGCUUUACACAUCCAAGUCGAACGGCAGCACGGGGGCAACCCUGGUGGCGAGUGGCGAACGGGUGAGUAAUACAUCGGAACGUGCCCAGUCGUGGGGGAUAACGCAGCGAAAGCUGUGCUAAUACCGCAUACGAUCUAUGGAUGAAAGCGGGGGACCGCAAGGCCUCGCGCGAUUGGAGCGCCCGAUGGCAGAUUAGGUAGUUGGUGGGGUAAAGGCUCACCAAGCCGACGAUCGGUAGCUGGUCUGAGAGGACGACCAGCCACACUGGGACUGAGACACGGCGCAGACUCCUACGGGAGGCAGCAGUGGGGAAUUUUGGACAAUGGGCGCAAGCCUGAUCCAGCCAUUCCGCGUGCAGGAUGAAGGCCCUCGGGUUGUAAACUGCUUUUGUACGGAACGAAACGGCUCUGGUUAAUACCUGGGGCUAAUGACGGUACCGUAAGAAUAAGCACCGGCUAACUACGUGCCAGCCGCCGCAGUAA